Molecule: long non-coding RNA, 6024 nt
Organism: Aptenodytes forsteri (emperor penguin)
Lineage: Eukaryota; Metazoa; Chordata; Aves; Sphenisciformes; Spheniscidae
Exons: 2
Source: RefSeq, a predicted model, not a curated record
CAGCCAGCUGAGGCAGCACAUCCAACUAGUUUAAUAGAUGCAAGUACAAAACAAGGUGGGGAAAAAGACACUGAUGUUAACAGCCACCUUGGCAGGAAUCUUUAUCAUUCCUGUUGUUGCUGCCUCUAAACUGUUUAAACAUUUGUAUGGUUUUUAUAUAUUGGGCUAACUUUCUAUUGAGUAAGGUUUUUCUCCCUAAUUCUUACUUUUGAUAUGUGAUCCACUUCCAUGUGCCCAAUCACAAUAACACUGUAGGCUCCCUGGCAGUAAAGGCCUGCCAGAAUUAGCUGUUGCCUUGGCUCUCUAUACCUGGUUACCUGGGCAGAAUUUUCUGGUGCUGUGAAGUACAAGUACUUGUUGCACAAUUUCUUUACACUUUUUUGAUGUUAGAGGCAGUUGUUACUAUGGUAGGCCUUAUUUUUAAAUUAUAACUGAAUUUGCGUGUAUCCUGCAGUUGUGUUAGCUAACAGAAUGAUAAUAGGUUUCAGGAAGAAGAUACAUGCAUGACUUAAGCUCCCAGGAGGUAAACGACUCCUGAAAAAAUGUGAUUUGUAAUGGACUUGGGAUUGACACUUCCAAUCAAAUGACUUCCCCUCGGAAGACUUACUAUCUAAACCAAAAUAAAAUGGUUUCACACUUUGUAGCUUGCUUGAUUGGCAAAUAAUAUGAGCAAGAUUUUGUGGUUAGCCUGUACCUUGGAGCUUCUUUGCGUUUGGCCUGUGUUCCUGGGAGUUCUUGAAAGGAGUGCAAAGCAAUCUUUUUUCCGAAGUGUAUUUGCUUUGUACUGUCAGGUCUUGUUGAAUGAGCGAGAUGAGUCGGAAAAGCUGGUCCACUCUCCAAAUGAAAGCUGUUUCUCUGAAAGAAGUUAUUCCCUAAUGCAAUACACAAAGAUGGGAUUUGAAAGGAAAGAUACCGUGCCACUGAGGCUAAGGUUUGGCACUUGUCAUCCUCAUAUCUUUUGGGGAUGUGCCCAAGGGCUUCUGUUUCUGUUUUGAAUAGUGGGUCGCUCUACAGUAAUACUUUUCAAUCAAAGCUGAGUGGAUUAGGCAAGGUAAAAAUCUUCGUUGAUAACAUAGCUACUCGGAUGAAUGCUCCACAGUACUCUCCCAAUGAAGACAUGACAACCAUAGCUGGUCUGUAAGGGUGUACCAGCUGAGUUUUGAUGUAAGUGUCAGAAACUAUCAAAAUUGUCUUUCCACCUAAUGAGUAUUCACCUGCAGCUGGAGGCAGCAUUAUAAAUUGUAGGACACUGGCAAACUUGAAUCUUGUCAGUUUAUGCAGGAAAGGCAAGUUGGGAAAAGUGAUUGCUGUGAAACAGUGAAGCUGACGCUGAAAGCGCUGUCAAAUACAGAACAGAAUUUGAAAAGUUUUGUCAUUCUGGACAUACAGAAAUAUUCUUCUACAGACUGCUUCUCAACAUGGAGCUCAGAAAAGCAUUGUCUUGUGAGUUUGAUAGGAAUUCAUUAGGGACAGCUUUAUUCCAUCACCCUUUUUAAUAUCGGAGAACUAAGACUCUAACACAGUUCAAGCUCAUGUUUUGUCAAUGACAUUCUGUGUUCAGUUGUGGGACUUUUGACAGAAAGCUUGAUUUGACUUGAAGGUCAGUUUGUCUUAUUAGCAGCAGUGCUGAGGGUAGUGUGUUCCACAGACGGAUUUGUCCUAGAUGUCAGAACAGUGUUAGCCAAACGAUUAGGUUAUCACUUUUUACAAUAGCACUUCAUCUUAAACUGGAAAAUACUUAUGCAGAAUGAAGUGAAAAUUAGGAUUUUCUUAGCAGAAGCCUAUAACGGCAUUCACAGCUUUAGAUACUCAUAAAAAUAUGUACACAGGCUUGUCAUUUACUGUUUAAUUACAAACGGCAGGCAUAAUAUGCUGUGCUACUAAGAGGGAACUACCUGUAAUAUUAGUACUUUCUGUAGUCCCUUUUAUGCUUCAAAGUCUCAUUCUUGUAUAGAUGGCAUGAGUAAAAGAUGAAUGUAUCUGUUGCUUAGCUUAAAAAUGCAUCUUUUGCAACUGUAGAAUUGUGCUUUAAAAAAGACAUAAGAUAAUUUAGUUGAAAGUGAAGUCACUAAAAGACUCUAUAGGCUAUACUAAAUGGCAGAUGCAGUUUAUUCCUAGAGGAAUACAGCCUUUUACACUAAGAUGAUGAGAAGAGAGCAUGUAUAAAGGGGCUAAUAGCCUGAAUAGCCAGGUAGCUUUUGCUACUGUUGGAAAACAGUCCUAUAAUGAACCUGAAGAGAAUCCAGUGUCGGUCCUUCCAUCCAUAAAACUGCUUGAUGUUCAUUUGUGGAAUUGGGUGCUCAUUCCAAACUCGUCAAAGGCAAGUGAAGGAAUCUUGCAGGCUCCAGUGGAUUCCAAAUAAAGCCUAUAUCCUGUUUGUUUAGCCAGUUGGGGUACCUUCUGGAUCUACAGCAUAUUGCUUUGGGCAUAAUCCAUUGUCAUUCUUCAUAUGAAAUUACAUUUGAAAUCACUAGAGGCUGUUUUGGAACAGGGAAAUGCUACUUAAAAUAGCUUCUUUUCAAAGAAGUCACUUGAAAGGUUAAUGACUGAAAAGACAUGAAAAUCCUCAUGGGUGAGAUGUUCUGUAGUGCAAAUGGCACUUCCAUAUAGAGAAGGAAGUGAGAGACUUUGGUGCCCUUUUGCCAGCACCUGCUGACACAGUGGCAGGGAGCUAACUGUCUACUUGCUGGUUCAAGUUUAUUUGCAAGAUAAAAUAAAACCCUGAGACUUGUCACUGUAGCCUGUGAAUCAGAAGAUGUAGUUUAUCAUAUUUCACCUGCUUAACAUUCAGUUAUGUUGGGUGUAAAGCCCCCAGAAGCAUUAUUUUUUCCAAAGUUUAUGAAAAUAAAUACUUUGAUAUUGGAUCUCAAUUAUUUUGUGCUUAGUGCACAAGCAGAGGAUGCAGAGCAACUGCUUUCAAAUGCCUCCUAUCCCUUGAGUAUAAAGUGACGUUAAGGGAGAAGUCUGAGCAUAAGUGAGGUUAGCAAAACAGAAAAAUCACAUGCUAUUGUUGGUACAGUCAAGACUGAUUCUGGAACAUAAAUAUUUUUCUCUGACUUAAGUAGUUCUGUAUCACUUCUCCUGUCAAUUAAUUCAAGAUACUAAGCUAUUGUUUGGUGGUUACGUUCUGUUUAAACCAAGCUUUCCAUAGAUUCCUUCUAUUAUGUGGACAACCUGUUGCUAGUAUAUUGGCUCUCAACUAGGAGAUCUUGAUCAUGUAAAACUCAUUAGUGAGGUGAAAACCUACAGAAAACAAGUUGGAUGUCGAAUUAGUGUGGAGUAUGCCAACUGUUAAUUGUCUAAAUGAAAUGGGCUGUGGUAGGUUGCAUCUGUGGGAAUUGUACUUCUGUGUGCAGGGAUUUAAAAGGCAAGGAUUUGAGUGCUUUGACAAUCUAUUUAGAAAGAAAACACAGUGGUUUCAAAGAAUGGUAUGAAAGGAGACUGAUAAUACAGGUUGUUCCUUAUGGAACCUUGAAAUGUACUUAACGGGGGAGGCAUUGCCUCUCAUAAGUCAAAGUUAAUGAUCCUUUCAAAACUUCGCUGUAAUUACUCUCCUGAAUGUUCUGGAUAAUAGUAAAAAGAUCUAUUUUUUGCCUGGUGUUGCAAUGAGAAAGCUGCAUCAGGCUCGACUGUAGAUCACUGCCUGCCAGAGACUAGGUGAGGGGAGGAGUCUGAUAUAUUGGAAUUCACAGAUGCUCUUGUGCUUGUUUUAAAUGUAAAUGAAGAAAGCUGAGUGUGUCUGUUUUGUUCUCUUGCAGAUGGCACUUUAACAAGUAUAUUUUUGGUAAGAUUAGGGGGAGAGUCAUCUUUUCCUCAGCCCUUUUAUGGUAGGCAUUUGUCUGUGUUUUGUAUAAAAUGUUAAAUACAAGAGUCACUGAAAUCCGAAGCUGGCUAUGGUUGUCAGUAUCUAGUGCACCCUCAUCUGUUUCUACUGAACACCAAAAAUGUGAGCACUUGACAAUACUGUUAAUGUUAAACUGAAGCUCUGUAUUCUGAGACUGACACGAUCUUGCAAGGCCAACCCAAGUAACGUAGUGCUGCUUGUCACCUAGAGAGUCCCUUUUGCUUUGCUUAGGAACUUGACGGUGUUUGGGAAUCGCCUUUUCUACCGUCUGAGCGUGAUGGCAGUAGCGGCAGGUUGGUUGUGUAAAGAUGUAGCUGGAUUCUUCGGAUAACUUAUUUUUGUGAUAGAAAAAAUGCAGCUGCUGUCUGUAAAUUCACACAACCUAAAUUCUUGAACUUGUCAGUUCCUUAUGUUAGUGGUGUUUUAACUCUUUCAGGACAUUCUGAAAAGGAUGAACGGCAGCAAGGGUAAGCUCUUGGCUCAAUAGAUUGCACAGUUACAGUUCCAUCAAAGUACGGAAGGGCUUAGUCUUCCCACUGCUGUUUAGGGAAAUGGUCCUACCACCUCAAACCCACACUGUGUUAUCCUCUCAGUUAACACAAGUUCUCUCUGAUACAUAUUUCCUGCUUUCUACUGUCAGACCAAUAUUCCAGAGCAGGCCUGUAUUUAUUGUACAGCGGACAUUGAAAGGAGGUGUCCAAAAUCAGUCCUGGAAUGGGCAAGGUACUGUCAACUAUGUUCCCAUUUCUCUUGAUCUUUGUAGAGAAUCCAGGGAAUUAAUUGUAUGUGGCACUUAAAGAGCACUUUCUCAUACUUACUUAGAGAUGCAGCUGUAUUUCCCCCUGCUUACCUGAGAAGAGUCAGAACUGUCUCAUUCUCAAGGAUGUUGAGAGGAGUUUAGCAUGCCCCCGACUCCUUUUUUUUAGGAAGAGAUCUCCAGAACUUCCGAUCAGCACCUUUCACCAGCACUAAAAAACAGUAAUUAAAAAUGCAACUAAAUACCAGUCACUGAAUGCUCAUCUAGCGAUUCAUGGCAGACUCCAGAGUCAAAGGCACUUGUGAGGCUUGCUUGCUGCUGCCUGAUUUCAGAUGAUAACUUUGUCUGCCAGGUAUCCCGGUGGCCUUUUGUGCAACCUCUGAUACUCGGCAUCAAGCUAGGAUUUCCAUAGUCAUAAAAAUAAAAAAAAAAAAAUUAUCUGUGUGGCUUCCAUCAAGUUUAUAUCUUUUCAGAAAAUCUAACAAAAUGAAGAAAUAAGCUAUUUCCUGAAAAAAUACUGUGGCCAUGACUAACUGUAAGCCCGUGUUCCAGCUCUCAUCCCUUGGAGUUUGCUUUCCUGUUUGCAAGAUUUGCGAUUCUCAAGUCUCCUCUGUUGGAGAGGAGGAUCGGUCUGUCAAAUCUGAACAAAGGCAGAAAUGCAAGAACCAGCGAAUGAAAGAGCAGAGCUGAGAAGCGAUGUGUUGCUUUUUUUUGACAACCUGGUAAAUAUGAAUUAUGAAAUCGACUAUUUAAAAGGAACCUUUUUUUAAAUUUGGGUUGCUAGCAGUGUAAAAUGUAAUUUAAAUCUGUUGCGCUGAAGCAUUUUUGUUACCAAUAGUCAAGUAGGAGAUGUUUACUUUUAUGUGUGUUUUCCCUUCUGCUCUUCCCAUUCACAGUCCCGUUGUGGUAAUUUCCUGAAGGUGUAAUCUUUGUAGCAUGAUUGUACAAACAUCCAUAUGAGAUUCCUGACUUCUUGUUCUCACUAAAAUAUGUUAAAGCAAUAGUAGUUUUACUUCUGUCCUUCUUUUCUCCACCUUCCGUAUUGAGAUUUGCAACUUCGCUACUAUACUGUCCUAGAGGAAUCCUAGUAUCCUGCUAUUCAACAGACAUAUGUUGUUGACAUGGAUAGCUGCAGUGUCCCUAUAUUCCUUUAUUUUUAUGGAGAAAACACAAAAGGUUUUGUUACAAUGGAUUUUAACACCCGAGUCAUGGAACCAUAUUGUUGAAACUCUGUAAAUUUUAAGGCAAUUUUCUGAAAUCGCUUGAAAGUGGAAUGUUGCAUCCUUUUAUGCUAUUUCCUGCUUCCUAUGUAGUUUUAUUCAGAUUUUUUAACCUUCUUUCUAAGUUUUGGCCUCCUGUGUAUUAGGUACAGUAUUUUCUGCCUUUCAUACUUUGUAAUAAAAAUGGAACAUUUGUAGAUUGA